AUAUCAGUCAUGCAUAGCAUAUCAAUAAGCGGAGGAAAAGAAACUAACAAGGAUUCCCUUAGUAACGGCGAGUGAAGCGGGAAGAGCUCAAAUUUGAAAUCUUCAAGGUUCUACCUUGACGAAUUGUAGUUUAUAAGAAGUGUUUUCUGUUAGUAGAGUGGCUAAAAGUUCUUUGGAAUAGGACAUCAUAGAGGGUGAGAAUCCCGUAUUUGACCAUUACUUUCCAGCUGUGUGAUACACUUUCAAAGAGUCGGAUUGUUUGGGAAUGCAGUCCAAAAUGGGUGGUAAAUUUCAUCUAAAGCUAAAUAUUGGCGAGAGACCGAUAGCGAACAAGUACCGUGAGGGAAAGAUGAAAAGAACUUUGAAAAGAGAGUUAAACAGUACGUGAAAUUGUCAAAAGGGAAGCGUUUGACACCAGUGUUGUUUAGUUCGAAAAUCAAUUAAGAAUGUUUUCGAUUUUAGGGAGUAUUGACCUUCAUCAGGCUUGCUGCUUUCUUUCUCGAAAUUAUUUAAUGCACUUUUCAGGUUAACAAGUCAACAUCAAUUUCUUUUGUUGUAAAAGGGUAUGAGGAAGGUGGCUUUCUCUUCGGCGCAAGUGUUUAUAGCCUUGUAGCCUCUGCAAUCGGAGAGAUCGAGGUCUGCAGCGUAGAUCCUUCGGGGUUAGAUACAGUUUGUGCUAAGCUAUAGCCUUUUCAUAGACAACUUGUUGACUAUGUUUAGUCUUGUAGCUUACUCGCUGACGCUAUUUUACCUACGCUUAGGAUGUUGAUGUGAUACUGCGAGCA
This 785-nucleotide ribosomal RNA is filed under the name uncultured Neocallimastigales. RNAcentral's name for it is "partial large subunit ribosomal RNA". It matches the Rfam family "Eukaryotic large subunit ribosomal RNA", at positions 22 to 628 of the family's 3401-position model. Lineage: Eukaryota; Fungi; Neocallimastigomycota; Neocallimastigomycetes; Neocallimastigales. The record is from RNAcentral.